This 655-nucleotide ribosomal RNA is filed under the name uncultured bacterium. RNAcentral describes it as "bacterial SSU rRNA". It matches the Rfam family "Bacterial small subunit ribosomal RNA", at positions 8 to 670 of the family's 1533-position model. The record is from RNAcentral.
AGAGUUUGAUCCUGGCUCAGGACGAACGCUGGCGGCGUGCCUAACACAUGCAAGUUGAGCGAAGCACUUUGGGUAGCUUGCUACCUGAUUUGACUGAGCGGCGAACGGGUGAGUAACACGUGGGUAAUCUGCCUGGAAGUCAGGGAUAACAGUUGGAAACGGCUGCUAAUACCGGAUAAUGUUUUAGCUGUAGAAGCUAAAACCAAAGCGCUAUGUAGCGCUUCCAGAUGAGCCCGCGUCCCAUUAGUUAGUUGGUGGGGUAAUGGCCUACCAAGGCGACGAUGGGUGGCCGGUCUGAGAGGAUGGACGGCCACACUGGGACUGAGACACGGCCCAGACUCCUACGGGAGGCAGCAGUGGGGAAUUUUGCGCAAUGGGGGCAACCCUGACGCAGCGACGCCGCGUGAGUGACGAAGGCCUUCGGGUUGUAAAACUCUGUCUAGGGGGAAGAUAGUGACGGUACCCCUGGAGGAAGCCCCGGCUAACUACGUGCCAGCAGCCGCGGUAAGACGUAGGGGGCGAGCGUUGUCCGGAAUUACUGGGCGUAAAGGGCGUGUAGGCGGCCUGUAAAGUCAGCUGUGAAAUCCCUCGGCUCAACUGAGGGCUUGCAGUUGAAACUACCAGGCUUGAGUGCAGGAGAGGAAGGUGGAAUUCC